Molecule: small nuclear RNA, 57 nt
Filed under: Pogona vitticeps (central bearded dragon)
Lineage: Eukaryota; Metazoa; Chordata; Lepidosauria; Squamata; Agamidae
Source: RNAcentral
GGCACUGGGGGUUGGCACUCCUGGCUCCCAGAACGGGGUUCAAAUCCCUGCAGUGUC